RNAcentral lists this transfer RNA (72 nucleotides) under Mitosporidium daphniae. It matches the Rfam family "tRNA". Rfam says of the family: Transfer RNA (tRNA) molecules are approximately 80 nucleotides in length. Their secondary structure includes four short double-helical elements and three loops (D, anti-codon, and T loops). The record is from Rfam by way of RNAcentral. Lineage: Eukaryota; Fungi; Microsporidia.
GGUUUUAUGGUGUAGUCGGUAGCACCCAGGACUUUGAAUCCUGUAACCGGAGUUCGAGUCUCCGUAAAACCA